RNAcentral lists this ribosomal RNA (141 nucleotides) under uncultured eukaryote. RNAcentral describes it as "partial 18S ribosomal RNA". It matches the Rfam family "Eukaryotic small subunit ribosomal RNA", at positions 1299 to 1458 of the family's 1831-position model. The record is from RNAcentral.
UGGUGGAGUGAUUUGUCUGGUUAAUUCCGUUAACGAACGAGACCCCAGCCUGCUAAAUAGUUGCGCUAAUGAUUUUUCACUGUGUGAAGCUUCUUAGAGGGACGUGCAUUUUUCAAAUGCAGGAAGAUAGGGGCAAUAACA